AGGUGAUCGAGAAUAAGUAGUUGUUGAUUGCUGUCGUGAGUGGCUAUCUCUCACUGUGUCUUUAGGUGCUCUGAUUAGUAACGGGAUGGGAACUUUUGUGGCUAUUUUCUAUUCCUUACAUAUUUGAUUAUGAAUUUAUAUGAUUAAGUUGUUAAUUGGAUUUUUAUGAGAUGUUUUGAUGAGGCCUUCGUGCCAAGACUAUUUAUGUUGUUGAAUUAAAUCCGCUGCGAAGUUUUGAAUAUUUAUGUUGAUUGAUUUAUGAAGGAUAAAUUGUUAUUUAUUCCA
This 285-nucleotide long non-coding RNA is filed under the name Medicago truncatula (barrel medic). Its description in RNAcentral is "lncRNA gene38246". The record is from RNAcentral. Lineage: Eukaryota; Viridiplantae; Streptophyta; Magnoliopsida; Fabales; Fabaceae.